ACACGUAGGUAACCUGCCCAUGUGCCCGGGAUAACUUCUGGAAACGGAUGCUAAAACCGGAUAGGUAGCAGACAAGCAUUUGACUGCUAUUAAAGUGGCUAAGGCCAUGAACAUGGAUGGACCUGCGGUGCAUUAGCUAGUUGGUGAGGUAACGGCCCACCAAGGCGACGAUGCAUAGCCGGCCUGAGAGGGCGGACGGCCACAUUGGGACUGAGACACGGUCCAAACUCCUACGGGAGGCAGCAUG
Molecule: ribosomal RNA, 247 nt
Filed under: uncultured bacterium
Lineage: Bacteria
Description: partial 16S ribosomal RNA
Rfam family: Bacterial small subunit ribosomal RNA
Source: RNAcentral